UCUCCUGCCUUGGCUUUCUGUGCGGCUGUGAUUACAGGCAUGUGCCACCACACCGUGGACACCUUCUUUUGACUGUGAUCCAUCACAUGAGGGCGCACGUCGAAUUUUCCCCUUAUGUGAUAUUCGCAGAUUUAUGAGUAUUUCAGGUUCUUUUGUUAGCAAUGGUGAAACUGCAUAACAUACUCCGGUGAGGAACUUCUAUUGAAAACUUAAAGUAAUAUACUCUUGAUUCACCUUCUCUUGUCUAUAGACAUCUCAAUGCAAACCUUUAGCUUCACACUCAGUAUGCUACAUAAUUUUCAACUAUUUCUCUUAUAAUAAUACAUGAAUAAAUGCCCUUAAAGACCUUUGAUACUAGUAUACUUGGGUGUUAGAUUUGAUUGUACUAAAGCAUACAUGGUUUUACAGAUGAAAUACAGAGUUUCACAUCAAAGCCAUCAGCGCUGUCAAAAGUUUCAGUUUCUUCGAGACCGAAUUGCAAAAGCUCCCCAACAAUGGACUUAUCUCCCUACCAAGAAUUUCUGGCAUCGAAGGACCUGUGAAGAAGGCAAGGGAAGAAAGAGGUGGCUGGUGCUGCAGUGUUUGCCAUUGAUCCAGAGGUUUUCCAGUGGACCUCAGGUUCCUGCAGGCUGCCUGGGCCCGAGCCAGGGCGUGACCACACAGAAGAUGAGGAAGGGGAGCUCUGCCUGUUCUCUGUUGCUCACUUCUGGUCAGCACACCCACAUUCAGCUCAUCAAAGUUUAGGAGAUGAAAUACAGAGUUUCACAUCAAAGCCAUCAGCGCUGUCAAAAGUUUCAGUUUCUUCGAGACCGAAUUGCAAAAGCUCCCCAACAAUGGACUUAUCUCCCUACCAAGAAUUUCUGGCAUCGAAGGACCUGUGAAGAAGGCAAGGGAAGAAAGAGGUGGCUGGUGCUGCAGUGUUUGCCAUUGAUCCAGAGGUUUUCCAGUGGACCUCAGGUUCCUGCAGGCUGCCUGGUCCCGAGCCAGGGUGUGACCACACAGAAGAUGAGGAAGGGGAGCUCUGCCUGUUCUCUGUUGCUCACUU
Long non-coding RNA from Sciurus carolinensis (gray squirrel), 1045 nucleotides. RefSeq lists it as uncharacterized. NCBI's taxonomy places the organism in Eukaryota, Metazoa, Chordata, Mammalia, Rodentia, Sciuridae. The record is from RefSeq and is a predicted model, not a curated record. The transcript is spliced from 4 exons.